CAAAGACGUUCUUCUGUUAGUUACUGUUUUUACUAGCAAGAAUGUUUUCCAGCAUAAAGGAGAAAAAUCAACCACUUGCUGUUCUAUGCCAGUACAGAGUAACGAUCCAGUGAAGGCAACUCACUCUUCCCCUUCUGGUCCUUGGGCUAUAAAAACAUGACCGCCCGGAAGAAGGUGUCACUUCUCUCCAGAGCAAACAGAGCUGAGAAGCUCCAUAACUUUUAGAUGGCAGACAAAACAGCCAUAAUUGUACCAGCCACAUUAUGCUGGUGACCACAGUUUUUUUUUUGUUUUCUGUUUGUUACACUUUUACGCUUGUGGACGGCCGGGCUGGUGCCCCAAAAUUUAUUUUUGUUUGAGCCUGUUAUUCCUUUGGAUGACCUCAGUUCAAACAAAAUCUUUUUAGGAAAACAAAUGCAAAGAUUAUUGUGAUUUAUCUCAAAGCUAGGAUAACAAGCUCAUGGUGUCACCAUAUUAAAUAAGUGUCGUGAAGACGACCAAUGAGGGCAACUGAAUCCUGCCUACAAUGUCUUCAGAAGACCCGCUUCUUCUGAUUGGAACACUAUAAAGACAGAAGUCCCUGAAAGGUGUCAUCUCACUUUGGACUUGAGCCACCACAUGAUGGAGCAUGACCCACUCAAGUCAGCUAAUUUAGCAAAGCAGCCAGCUUGUCUGUUAAGGCAAAUAUGAAAUCUAAUUUCUGCUGCGCUGAGCACUGGCGUUUAUUCUGUUUUCUGGUGCAUCUUAUUAAAUUGGGUGGCCAGGUUGGCACCCCAACUAUUGAGAUUUUGAGAUUCAUCUAGUUAUUUAGCCCUUCACAACAGGCAAGAAGCCCCUAUUGUGCAGAAUCUGUGAACUAAUGGAUAGACUGGAGUUCUGAGGAUGAAACAAAGUGUAAUAUUAUUGUUUUAAAAUCAUCUCAAAGUGUGCUAUCGCUUCUGCACAAAGCACACAACAAGCGUGAAAUUUGUUUAGCAAAAUAUGGACUAAAGCAUAGAGGACAGGUUUUCAGAAUGAAACAUCUGUCAAACAAAAAGUCAUGCACUCCCUGAGGUGUCUCAACAUCUUUUGGAAAAGCCCUAAGUGACCUUGAUUGAAACUGUACCUAUAUCAUGUUGGCUUCUUUUCAGGAAAAAUGAAUCUAGCAACAUUAGGUGCUUACCCAGAGUGGAUUUAUGGUUCCCUAAUGACAGCUGCAACUGCUGAGUGAAAACAGGCAUACUUUCUCUAUAUGGGAGCUGCCUGAAGUGGUCAUAACAGACAUUGGUCCCCAGUCUGUGAGUGAGCUAUUUUUGGAGCUCAUGUUCUAAAACAGUGACAAAAUCAUUCCAACUAUCUUGUACCCUGAAGCUUCAAAUGGUGUGACAGAGAGGGCAGAUCACAUCAUCCAAAAUGAACCUUGGAAGAUGUAUAUAAAGGAGGCAAUGAAAUCAAGUGUUUUUAUAUCUUCAUUUUAGAAUCACUAAUCUAAAUCACAGGGAAGUCAAAAGCAGAAGCACAGAGCAAGCAGGAUUCUAGGCCUGAUCCAUGGGACCCUGUCCUAUAGAGUUGCUCUGACUACUUGUCAUUCUCUGAUUUUGAACGACCUUAAAAUGAUGCCAUUUUCAAAUACAUUCUAUAAAUUUGUGGAAUACUUAUUAAACCUUGUCAUUUUAUUAAGGCAUUCACUGUUUAAUGACAUCCUCAGUUUUAAUUAGCAUUGUGUUAUUAAUGAAGGGCUGUAUCCAUGUCUAUCUGCAAAAGGAAACAUAGACACAAAAAUUAAAGAGCUAGUUAGAGAAUUAUUUUGGCCUGUGUAGCCUUCAUCUAUGUCACUGUCUAAAAUGGAAAAAAAAAUACAUUGAAUCUCCAAAUGCCUUCAACACAGUGUCAAAAUUGUGCCAUUGGAUUGCUGCCCCAGACCAUAAAUGGUCUCUCAUUAUUGCUGCCAGUUAACUAAUGACAGACCUUAAUUUCAAACAAUUUAUUGGUGGAUUGCUUUGUGAUCUGAUAUUUAGGGAGGCCAAGAUAUUAAGUUAAAUUGUCUGUCAUGAUCCUGGAACCAUCUCAAAACUUUCUAAGCCUUUUGGCUUUCAGCAUGAUCCUAUUGAAAAAGCCCACCAGGAUACUAUCAUGAAGUUCUGUCAUGUACUGCUAUUUUUUGGGACUAUGGAGGAUUUUACUUAAUUACUUAAACGAAUAUUGUUUAUUUUCCAUGAGCACAACCAUCUUGUUUAUUGUUGCCAGGUGUUUGCCAUCAUGUGGAAUAAAUUGCAUAAUGUUUGAUUUCAGCACUGUCAUGCUAUUUAAGAUGUUGGCAUGCAGCACUCUGUGUCCAGCUUGUUGGAUAAAUAAUAACAAAUCUUUUGCAUCUAAAAGUUAUAGUUAGGGGGAUACAUUUUAUGAUUGUGUUCAGGAACCUUUAGACUUUCUUUUUUUGACUUUUACUGUUGUCAUUUACCUUUUCUUUUUGGUAAUUGAUCUGACUGCUCAACCUCUUGGUGAUACAGUAUCUGUUUCUUUUAAUGGUCAUUUUGAAAGUUGUAAUUGAAAUUCAGAUUUUGUUUCUUUGUUUCUAUGAGGCAAUGUGUACUUUAAAAAUAAAUUAAUACUUUUACACCAGCAAUGACAAUUUGCAUGGUUGUCUCUGGGCGGAAUGAAUCAAUGAUAGUUUUUACUAUAGCUUAGUCCAACGAUAAAUCUGAACCAGUAGAAACAAGGCUUCAAAAGAUCAACCGACAUCUUACCAUUGCACCAGAAUCUGUGUUCCCUAGGCUUUUGGAACCACACAGAAAUUAAAUUUGGUUGAACUGCCAGUCUUUAACCACCAGUCUGUGACAAGAUACAAAGACAUAAGGAUUCACUACGUUGGUGGCACUAUUCUACGUAGCCAUUACAUGAAUGACUUCUGAUUAUUCUGCCUAAGUUGUGCUGG
Long non-coding RNA from Polypterus senegalus (gray bichir), 2914 nucleotides. RefSeq lists it as uncharacterized. NCBI's taxonomy places the organism in Eukaryota, Metazoa, Chordata, Cladistia, Polypteriformes, Polypteridae. The transcript has 3 exons. The record is from RefSeq and is a predicted model, not a curated record.